UUUUUUGCUUUUUAGAGCCACACCUGCGGCAUAUGGAGGUUCCCAGGGUAGGGGUCUAAUCAGAGCUACAGCUGCUGGCUGCCGGCCUACGCCACAGCCACAGCAACCUCAGAUCCAAGCCGCAGCUCACAGCAACAUGAAAUCCUUAACCCACUGAGCAAGGUUAGGUAUCGAACCUGUGUCCUCAUGGAUGCUAGUCAGAUUUGUUAACCGCUGAGCCACGACAGAAACUCCAGCAUUCUUCUCUGCACAUUUAACUGUUUUUGCAGCUACUCAGUUUGCUUUGCUUUCAUCCAAACCCCAUCGCUCCUAGUUAAGAAUCUAAAUCACUCCAAAGGGAAAUAAGAUACAGUACAGCUAAACAGGCUCCCCAAGGACUUGGCAUCCCUGCAGAUAUGUGAUGGAGGAAGGCUUGAAACCUCCAGCCUUUACUCUUUCACUUUAGGGCACAGUAGCUUUUAAAAUUUAAAUUAAUUAAAAUGAAAUAAAAUAAAUUCAGUUUCUCAGCUGUACUAGUUAAACUUCAAGUGCCCCUGUGCUAAUAGAGCUCUGGUGGCUACUGUAUGACAGGGAAGACAGAGACCAUCUCAUUGUAGAAAGUUCUGUUGGAGAGCACUACCUCAGGGGAUACUGGUGGAGCUGUUAAGAAUUUCCUCUAAUAUACUAUCCACCCCACAGUACUCUAUCUGCUGAAUUUUAAAGUGCUCUGGUUAUACUGGUUACACUGCUUCUGACCAAUAUUCUUUGAAAUUUAUGAUACCAUACUGAGGCUUUCCUUUGUUUCCAAAGGAGAUGAGUUUCUUCCUCAUUUUAUUUUCAUCAAUGUAAUAUACAUGGAGAACAUCAUAAAAAUGCUCUGACGAAAUCUUGAUUUUUAUUUUUUUUUAUGUUUCUGCUUUUUAAGGCUGUACUCACAGCACAUGAAAGUUCCCAGGCUAGGGGUCGAAUCGGAGCUGCAGCCUGGGAAUUUCCAUUUGCUACUAAAAAAAAUGUAUUUUUUAAUUAAUCAAAACUUUGAGUACUUAGGUCCUUAGAGAAGAAGCUUACAUCUUCUUUGAGAUUACUGGUUAAUCACCAAGGACAUAGUGAUAGAGAGUAAUAACUAGCAUUUCUUUAGUACUUAUAGCUUACAAGUGUUUUCAAAAGCUGUUGUAGUGUUUUCUAAACACAUGUUUGAGGAAUGGAUCAUUCACGGUUAUUUGGGGAGCUUUGUGGGAAGUACAAAUUCCUGGACUCCUCUACUUAGAUAAGUAGACUCCUCUACUUAUUUACUAGGAGAAGAGGGAGGCAAAAAAAUAUGUGUAAAAGAAAAAAACUUCUCUAGGUGAUUGAAAUUCACCUAGACUUAGGAACUACUGAUGAAGUAAAAUAAGAACAGGUCCUGGGAACCCUUUUUAGCAUUCAAACUGCUUUCACAGUGUAAAACUGUAAGUCAAAAUAAACAUGAUAAAGAGUUCCCACUGUGGUGCAGUGGGUCAAGGAUCUGGUGUUGCUGCUGCUGUGACGUAGCUUGUAGCUGUGGCUCAGAUUCAAUCCCUAGCACAGGAACUUCCAUAUGCCACGACUGCAGCCAAACAAACAAACAAAAAAAUAGGGUAAAUGUUAACCAGUUGAAAUUGAUAAAUAUUAUUGAGAAUUAUUUAUAUCAAAGAUACUGAGUAAAGGCCUUAGUAGAGAAGCAAAGAUGGGGAAAAGAAAAUUCCUGCUCUCAAAACCCCCCCAAUACUUCAGAGAAGAAUACUUGUAAAUAAUCAUGCAAUUAUAUAUAACACUAGAAAAUAGAAGAGAUGUCAAUAUUUCUGAUGGGAAAUUAAGGUUGAACAGAAGAUGUGAUCACAGAUUUUUGUCUUAUCAAAUGAAAGGGUAUCUACCUAGUAGAAGAAUGGUGAGAUAGAUGAGGAAGGGAAGAGAAAACAUCAUUCCUAGCAAAGGAAACAUAUGAGAGGGUGAGAGAAGAAGCAUCAUACCCUUACAGAACUUGGAGAGAUCAGUCUGUCUUCAGUAUAUGGGGGAGAAUCGAAAGAAAGACCUGUGACUGGGAGGCAGGCAGGGAGUCUAUGAAUGAUCUUAUGCUAAGUGUGCAGACCAGACAUCAUUCUGCUGAACGACAUGAUUAGAGUUCUCAGGUUUACAACAAUUACCCUGGAAGAAGGAGUGAUGAAAAUAGGACUAAACUGAAAGCAGCUAGAUAGUUCAGAGAUUAUUAGAAAUAGUUCAGGCAAGAGAAAAGACAGACUUGACUAAAGCAGUGGCACCUGGGAUUAAAAGGAGGGAAAUGAUUAGACAUAUUUAGAAACUAGAAAUAACAUGACAUUUGUUCAGCUUAAGUGCUCAGAGAGGCCUUUCUGAUAUGCCCUGCCUGAGCCAUUACUCCUCCUCACACAACCUGGUUCACAGGAAUCACCAAAACGCAUAAUCAUAAUAUAAUAAUUAUGUAUCUAACUAUUGGCUUAUUUUCUGUCUCCCUCAAAUCCCAUCUGGGGUGAUCUUCGGUUUAUUUAUUUAAUUGUGUACACCAACAUCUAAUACAGCAAAUGGCACAGGGUGGUUAUCAAUAAACACUUGCUGGCUGAAUGAAUGGGAAGAGGAGUGAAAGGAAAAAAGUAGCUGGGAACCACCAGCUUUCCUGCUCAAAGUGCCUGAGCAAAUGAUGAUGUUAGUGAGAAUGUAAAACUAUGGAAGGAAGCACAGGUCUGGACAAGAGGAUUACCUGAGUGGGGGAGAGAUGGAGCAACCAAUUACGAGGUUACUGUACCCAAGCAUAACACGACACCAGACAAGAAGUAGUGAGAAGCUGACCCAGGAUGACGGCAAUAGGAGUGUAGAGGAUUUUAGAGAUACUAUAACUAUAGGGUAGAAUCUAUGAAAUUUGACAAGUGAUUACACAUAGGAGCAAAGAUUAUUACUCUGAAAGUUCAAAUAGAAAUACUUAAAAAUGGUGCUAUUGGUAUGGUUUAUCAAUGUGAAGUUGUGCAGAAACUUUUUGUUUUGGGAAGGGUAAAUGUGGGAGGAAGCUGAAUUUAUCUCAGAAAUACCGAGUUUAAAGUACCAGAGAAAAAAUGGAGGUAAAAAUGUCAAUUAGGCAGCCUGAAAUACAAGUUUAUAGAACACAAGAAAAGGUACAGCUUGAGUUUUAAAAUAUUGUUGGUCAUGCACUAAAGCGACAGUUAAAGCUGAGCAGAAGAAGAGAUCUCAGAAGUAAGAGACAUAUAUAUGUACAUGACUGAACAUAAAAAGGACCAAAUGUCAUGAAAACAAAAGAGAAAAGAAAAACUUAGGAACUACUUCAGGUUAAAGGAGACUGAAGAGGCAGGAUAACUAAAAGUAAAGCAAAAUUUAGAUGGGAUGCUAUGCAGAAAAAAACUGUUUUAAAAAGAUAUGCUUGGGACAACUAAUCAAAAAUGGGUAAAAUAUUAUUAUCAAUGUUGUUCUGAAUUUGAUAAGUAUACUGUGAUUAUAUAAGAAUAAUCUUACUCUUAGAAAAUAAACAGUGAAAAGGUAAAAGCAUAUGAUGCACUCAAUCUAUUAAACCAUUCAGAAAAAUGUGUGUGUGUGAGAGAGAGAAAAUAAGGAUGAUAAAACAAAUAUAGCAAAAUGUUACAAAGGUGUGAAUCUAGAUAAAAGAUAUAAAGGAGUUCUUUGCAUCAUUCUUGUAGCUUUUGUGCACAAAUGAAAUUUGAAAUAGGAGUUAAAGAAGAAAAAGAAUAGAAUGCUGGAGCAUACCUUUGAGUUUAUAAGGUCAACAGUGAAUUGAUCCCCUGAGAGUGAUGGCUGUUCAGAGUGAUUCAGGAUUGAGAAGAGAAGAGGUUUAUGUCCAGUAGGUAUGGAAACAGCUUUGUCUAAACCAACUGUUCCAUGUACACAACAAAAUAUGCUUACUAUAUAAAGAUGUCCUGUCCCACAGACUUUCAGGUUAACAAUACUAGGAUCCAUCAUUCAUUCUGCUGACAUAUAUAGUAAAUAUCCAUUUUGGUCAGAGAAGCCACCCAGACCUUCUCUGAGAAACAAGACUGACAGAAAACAACAUCAAAUUGCUCUGUGUAUGUAUGUAUUUUGACUCCCUGCACAAAAAUAUGCAAGAUACAUUCUUUUGAAGUGGAAGAGAAUAGGUGUAUCACUUAGAACCAGCAGUACCACUUAAGCCCAAUUGUAAGCAAUAAAUCAUCCAUGAAUGGUUAAAGGACUCCCUGGGCCAUUGUUUCCGCUGGGACAAGGAAUUUCAGAUCAGAUCAAUACCUAACAAAGAAAAAGGAAGACAGAUGAGAGGCAGAUAAAACAAAAUCCAUACAUUGUGAUCUGAACAUGAAAGUUCUUAUCAGCUCUUUCAAAGCCUUAUGUCUAGACUGAGAAGGAAUAGGUAUUCUUCAUCUCAGCAAUAAAUUGCUCACUGCUUUCAUGUACACCACAUUAUGUACUACAAAGUCCAAAGCCUUUAUUGGGAAAAGAAUGGAAUCGCUUCUGGUAACUUAGGACGUAAUGAGACCAACUUGAAAUAGCCUAUAUAUGCGGACAAAUAUACAUUAGAUGGAACAGCAGCUUAAAAGCCAGGAGAAAGUUUAAGAACACAAAGCUAGACUAUUUCAAUACAAAUGAAGCAAACCAAUGGGCAAAUAGAGCAUUUUAAGGAGAAAGAGAAAUCAAAUAACAAAAAGAUAAUUUUAUAAAGUCUGAAAAAUCAUUGUGUCAUAAUUAAUAAGAGGAUUUUGUAAAUUACUAAGGAAAAAAUCAAAUACUAAGAAAAUUAUUUAAGAAUUUAUUGUAUAUUCUUUCUUUCAUAAGGAAGUAUGUCAAAAGAGUAAUAACAGAGGAUUGAGAAUUAAGAAUUUAUGCAUUCAAAUUAUAAUUAUGAUGUGGAUUACUUUAUGCAAAAAUGAAAAAUAAGAAUAAUGUGAAUAAAAUUAUCAUAGAAUUUAAUAAGUAAAUGAGGUUUGGGAGUUCCUGUUGUGGCACAGUGGAAACGAAUCCGACUAGUAUCCAUGGGGAUAUGGGUUCAAACCCAGGCCUCACUCAGUGGGUUGGUAAUCCGGCGCUGUUGCUGUGAGCUGUGGUGUAGUUCGCCGAUGUGGGUCGUAUCCCACGUUGCUGUGGCUAUGGUGCAGGCUGGCAUCUGUAGCUCUGAUUCAACACCUAGCCUGGGAACUUCCAUAUGCUGCAGAUGCAGCCCUAAAACAGCAAAAAAAAAAGUAAACAUGGUUUAAGUACAGUACUCUAGCUUUUAUUUCAAAUCUCAAUAUCCUUUAUCCUAUGGAUUUAUAUUGCAAAUGACAUAUUUACUUGCCUGCUGAAGAAGCCAGCAGCAGAUUGAAAAAAAGGAUAAACAGGAGUUCCUGUCAUGGCUCAGCAGUAACAAAACCCACUGGCAUCUAUGAGGAUGCAGAUUCAGUCCCUGGCCUUGUUCAGUGGAUUAAGGAUCUAGUGUCGCUGUGAGCUGUGGUGUCACACCCACAGCAUUGUGUCGGAUCCCACAGCAUUGCUGUGGCUGUGGCAGAGGCUGGCAGCUGCAGCUCCGAUUGGACCCUUAGCCUGGGAACUUCUAUAUGCCAAGGUGUGGCCCUAAAAAGCAAAAGAUAAAUUAAAUACUACUAAUAAAAAACAGAUAAACAACAACAAAACAACAUAACAAUAUGACAAAAGGCAGAAUAAAGGCAUGUCAAAAUUGUUCCAUUCUUGGAGAUAAAGCACUAAAUGAAAAUUUAGGACAGCUGGCUUCCAUAUCAAGCUUUAAACUAAGCCAUACGUCAUAAAACUCAUUUAAUCUACUCACUAGAUCUCCUAUUCCCUCUUACUUUUAUCUUCUAUGAGAGAAAAAAAAAAAAAAAGAUAAAAUUUUACUAUCUCCAGAGAAGUUGUAGGGAUUGAAAGCAUAAUGAAAAUAAUAUUAAUUUAAAAAUACUUACAAACUUAAAAGCAUUCCAAAUACACUGAACUGUAGCUUUAAAAACAUCAAAAGAACUAUAACUGAAGAAAAAAUACUAUCAAAAUUAAUUCUGGAUUGCAAGCUUACACUUAGGAUUCAAACAUGGGCCUCGGAUGUAGGAUCCUACAGAAGUAACAGUGUAUUCAAAUUUAUUCUAGUCACACAGCUGGAGUUUAAAAAUUCCCCCUUUGUGGUAGAAUCCUCAGGGUGCUUACAGAGAUUCAGAGAAACAGAACAAGAGGUAAGAACUGUUCCCACUCACGAAAGCUGGGUA
RNAcentral lists this long non-coding RNA (6191 nucleotides) under Sus scrofa (pig). RNAcentral's name for it is "lncRNA (ENSSSCG00025034055.1)". The record is from RNAcentral. Lineage: Eukaryota; Metazoa; Chordata; Mammalia; Artiodactyla; Suidae.